This 381-nucleotide ribosomal RNA is filed under the name uncultured bacterium. RNAcentral's name for it is "bacterial SSU rRNA". It matches the Rfam family "Bacterial small subunit ribosomal RNA", at positions 30 to 414 of the family's 1533-position model. The record is from RNAcentral.
AUUGAACGCUGGCGGCAUGCCUUACACAUGCAAGUCGAACGGCAGCACGGGAGCAAUCCUGGUGGCGAGUGGCGAACGGGUGAGUAAUAUAUCGGAACGUGCCCAGUCGUGGGGAUAACGUAGCGAAAGCUACGCUAAUACCGCAUACGAUCUAUGGAUGAAAGCGGGGGAUCGCAAGACCUCGCGCGAUUGGAGCGGCCGAUAUCAGAUUAGGUAGUUGGUGAGGUAAAGGCUCACCAAGCCGACGAUCUGUAGCUGGUCUGAGAGGACGACCAGCCACACUGGGACUGAGACACGGCCCAGACUCCUACGGAGGCAGCAGUGGGGAAUUUUGGACAAUGGGCGCAAGCCUGAUCCAGCAAUGCGCGUGCAGGAUGAAGG